GACGAACGCUGGCGGCGUGCCUAAUACAUGCAAGUCGAACGCACAGUUUAUACCGUAGCUUGCUACACCAUAGACUGUGAGUUGCGAACGGGUGAGUAACGCGUAGGUAACCUGCCUGGUAGCGGGGGAUAACUAUUGGAAACGAUAGCUAAUACCGCAUAAUAUUAAUUAUUGCAUGAUAAUUAAUUGAAAGGUGCAAUUGCACCACUACCAGAUGGACCUGCGUUGUAUUAGCUAGUAGGUGAGGUAACGGCUCACCUAGGCGACGAUACAUAGCCGACCUGAGAGGGUGAUCGGCCACACUGGGACUGAGACACGGCCCAGACUCCUACGGGAGGCAGCAGUAGGGAAUCUUCGGCAAUGGACGAAAGUCUGACCGAGCAACGCCGCGGGAGGGAAGAAGGUUUUCGGAUCGUAAAGCUCUGUUGUAAGAGAAGAACGGGUGUGAGAGUGGAAAGUUCACACUGUGACGGUAUCUUACCAGAAAGGGACGGCUAACUACGUG
RNAcentral lists this ribosomal RNA (505 nucleotides) under uncultured bacterium. RNAcentral's name for it is "partial 16S ribosomal RNA". It matches the Rfam family "Bacterial small subunit ribosomal RNA", at positions 28 to 507 of the family's 1533-position model. The record is from RNAcentral.